This 497-nucleotide ribosomal RNA is filed under the name uncultured bacterium. RNAcentral describes it as "partial 16S ribosomal RNA". It matches the Rfam family "Bacterial small subunit ribosomal RNA", at positions 28 to 507 of the family's 1533-position model. The record is from RNAcentral.
GAUGAACGCUGGCGGCGUGCCUAAUACAUGCAAGUCGAGCGAACAGACGAGGAGCUUGCUCCUUUGACGUUAGCGGCGGACGGGUGAGUAACACGUGGGUAACCUACCUAUAAGACUGGGAUAACUUCGGGAAACCGGAGCUAAUACCGGCUAAUAUUUCGAACCGCAUGGUUCGAUAGUGAAAGAUGGCUCUGCUAUCACUUAUAGAUGGACCUGCGCCGUAUUAGCUAGUUGGUAAGGUAACGGCUUACCAAGGCAACGAUACGUAGCCGACCUGAGAGGGUGAUCGGCCACACUGGAACUGAGACACGGUCCAGACUCCUACGGGAGGCAGCAGUAGGGAAUCUUCCGCAAUGGGCGAAAGCCUGACGGAGCAACGCCGCGUGAGUGAUGAAGGUCUUCGGAUCGUAAAACUCUGUUAUUAGGGAAGAACAAACGUGUAAGUAACUGUGCACGUCUUGACGGUACCUAAUCAGAAAGCCACGGCUAACUACGUG